AUAAAUGCGUUGACGGGAAAAAAACGAAGUGUUUUCUGCUUACAGAGAGCCGCCGGGUGGUGCAAGGCGGUGCGGAGAGCUUCGGCUACUGGCCCCUGAGCGGCAAAGCUGAAAUCGCAGUAGGCUUUGACGGAUGCCCACCGUUACCGGGGCAGCGAUUCGCCGCCAAAAGCCGAUCGUGUCGAGUGGCUGGCUCUGCCAGCAAAGAGAGUGGUACCACGGGUGCCCUGUAGUUUGAACUUACAGGCUCUCGUCUCUCAA
RNAcentral lists this non-coding RNA (261 nucleotides) under Faecalibacterium prausnitzii. RNAcentral's name for it is "T-box sequence". It matches the Rfam family "T-box leader". Rfam says of the family: Uncharged tRNA acts as the effector for transcription antitermination of genes in the T-box leader family. T-boxes are found upstream of many aminoacyl-tRNA synthetase genes and some amino acid biosynthetic genes usually in Gram-positive bacteria. The anticodon of a specific tRNA base pairs to a specifier sequence within the T-box motif, and the NCCA acceptor tail of the tRNA base pairs to a conserved bulge in the T-box antiterminator hairpin. The record is from RNAcentral. Lineage: Bacteria; Bacillati; Bacillota; Clostridia; Eubacteriales; Oscillospiraceae.